GAGUACACAUUGAGUGUGGUUGGUCAGCCAGUUAUGAAUCCACCUGGUGGUGAUGCUGUCUAACCCACAUUUUUCUGUUUUAUCAAGUAAUAGGUUAUGGUCUAUUUUUUCAAAUGCCUUACUGAAAUAAACUGAAAUGCAGUUUUUUUAAGAAUUA
Non-coding RNA from Pseudonaja textilis, 157 nucleotides. Lineage: Eukaryota; Metazoa; Chordata; Lepidosauria; Squamata; Elapidae. The record is from RefSeq and is a predicted model, not a curated record.